Rattus norvegicus (Norway rat) is the source of this 120-nucleotide small nucleolar RNA. Ensembl annotates it as small nucleolar RNA SNORA70. The record is from Ensembl. Lineage: Eukaryota; Metazoa; Chordata; Mammalia; Rodentia; Muridae.
CUGUAGCCAGUUAGGCUGACUAGAUUCCUUUCUUUAUGGAGGCCUGGUAUACAAAGGUGGCAAACAUAAGUAGCUUAUGCAGUCUAUGUGGGUUGCCCUGGGGGGACCUUGGAGACAGUG